GCCGGGCAUGGUGGCUCACGUCUGUAAUCCCAGCACCUUGGGAGGCUGAGGUGGGUGGAUCACCUGAGGUCAGGAGUUCAAGACCAGCCUGACCAACAUGGUGAAACCCUAUCUCUA
Unclassified non-coding RNA from Pongo abelii (Sumatran orangutan), 117 nucleotides. It matches the Rfam family "Metazoan signal recognition particle RNA". Rfam says of the family: The signal recognition particle (SRP) is a universally conserved ribonucleoprotein. It is involved in the co-translational targeting of proteins to membranes. NCBI's taxonomy places the organism in Eukaryota, Metazoa, Chordata, Mammalia, Primates, Hominidae. The record is from Ensembl.